AAACUAACAAGGAUUCCCCUAGUAACUGCGAGUGAAGCGGGAAAAGCUCAAAUUUAAAAUCUGGCAGCCUUCGGUUGUCCGAGUUGUAGUCUGGAGAAGCGUUUUCCGCGCUGGACCGUGUAUAAGUCCCUUGGAAUAGGGCGUCAUAGAGGGUGAGAAUCCCGUCUUUGACACGGACUACCAGUGCUUUGUGAUGCGCUCUCAAAGAGUCGAGUUGUUUGGGAAUGCAGCUCAAAAUGGGUGGUAAAUUCCAUCUAAAGCUAAAUAUUGGCGAGAGACCGAUAGCGAACAAGUACCGUGAGGGAAAGAUGAAAAGCACUUUGGAAAGAGAGUUAAACAGUACGUGAAAUUGCUGAAAGGGAAACGCUUGAAGUCAGUCGCGUUAUGCAGAACUCAGCCUGGCUUUUGCUUGGUGUAUUUUCUGUAUGACGGGUCAGCAUCAAUUUUGAUCGCUGGAAAAAGGCCUCAGAAAUGUGGCACCUUCGGGUGUGUUAUAGUCUGGGGUCAUAUACAGCGGUUGGGAUUGAGGUCUGCAGCACGCCUUUAUGGCUGGGUUUCGCCCACAUUCGUGCUUAGGAUGCUGGCGUAAUGGCUUUAACGAC
This 602-nucleotide ribosomal RNA is filed under the name Cerrena sp. OTU69 TS-2013. RNAcentral's name for it is "eukaryotic LSU rRNA". It matches the Rfam family "Eukaryotic large subunit ribosomal RNA", at positions 62 to 648 of the family's 3401-position model. The record is from RNAcentral. Lineage: Eukaryota; Fungi; Basidiomycota; Agaricomycetes; Polyporales; Cerrenaceae.